This is a long non-coding RNA of Cyprinus carpio carpio, 2014 nucleotides long. NCBI's taxonomy places the organism in Eukaryota, Metazoa, Chordata, Actinopteri, Cypriniformes, Cyprinidae. The record is from Ensembl.
GGUACUGCACAUAAAUAAAACCAAUAAAUCUAUACGGUCUAAAAAAUAAUUACCUGUAAAUCCUGGCCAUGUGGAGGGACCAUCAUCUGGCGUAGCUUUCUCUCAUGCGCUGCCUUUCUAGCUCUCUGCUCCUGUUUCUUGAUCCUCCACUGCAUGCGUCUUCUACGUAUAACCUCCUCAGGAUCUACUUUUGGAUUUGGCGUUGCCACUAUUUGGCUUCUAUCACAUCUUGAUUUAUCUGUAUGCUGUGUCUCUGGACCAGAAGGCUUGGUGCACCUGCUUGUUUUUUUCUGAAUGGGGAUCUGUCUGCAUAUUACGAAGAACUGCAUGUUUGGUUGCAUCUUUGCUGGCUUUUCUAGCCCGCUGUUGUCUUUUCUUUAACCGCCAAUACUCUCUCUUUCGUUGAAGCUCAUCACUUUCACCAAGCUGUUGCUUUUGCAAGGCCUGUGAAGGGUAGGCCUGCUUGGGAUUUGCUCCAUCAUCACUGAACUUCUGAGGUUGCAGAGCCACUGGAGAAAUGGCACGACUUCCGUCUGUAGCCUCUUGACAUACGUUAUGAGUGUUACAAUGACUCGUGUUUUCAAAAGUUGAUGCCUGAGCACUCAAUUUGAUAUCUUUAAGGCUUGUGUCUUUUAAAAUGUCACACUGUAAUAAGAUGUUUUGUUGUAAGGUAAGACUUGGCUUUGCAUCUUCAGAUGUAAAAAGGUCAUCUUUAGUCAACGGAAGAGGCUCAUUUUCACACUUAACAUGCAUUUUGUUGGCAUUAUUUUCUUCUGGUGUGUAAAGCGAUUCCUCCAGGAGCUUCUUCAUGGAAGCAACAGCCUGAAGAGUGGUGGCAUGAUGGUCCACAGCUGUUGGAGGCUCAAUGUGUGAUUCUAAGGAUGCACAAGGUGAAGGUUUGCUGCUAUUAACACUGAUGCAGGGAAUUAUUUCUGGGAUGGAAAACACAGUUUGUAUAGUGGGAUAGACAUGCUCUUCUUUUAUAGGCAUUGGGGCACUGGUAGAGGAGUGACAAACUGUUGUGGUGAUAGAUGAAGUAAUACUUUGCCUAUGGUUUGACUUCUUGUUUUGCUCUCUCUGCUUUAACACAGAAACCUUCGACCUAAGCAGACCAUUUCCAAGUCGGGCAGCUUGACUAGCCCUUUGCUCUCGUUUCUUUAUCCUCCAAUACUCCCUCAAACGGGCGACCCUUUCUUCUUCUGUUGGGGUUUCAGACUGGAUGGUGACUGUCAUACUGCCCAUAACUGCACCUCUGGUUAACCUAGACUGUACUAGAGAGUUUUGAUUCUUCUGGACUAAUGUUUUGGUGCAUUUUUGGAGCUUGAUAGUCUCUGCGUCUACGUUAACUGUAUCAAAGAGAGCAGCCUGCACACUCUACAAGAUAGGUUUUUCACAUAUUCCACAUAAGAAAGAAAAUCAUACAGGUUUAAUUCAACAUGAUCGUAAGUAAACAAUUCCCGAUUUUUAUUCAACUACUCAUUUUCUAACAUUACAACUGCUAUGCAUUGCUAAACAACGGGGCUUUUUACAAAACUAUUUGAAUUGAACGCAUACAAAUAUGCGUAUAAGAAUAAAAUGUGAAGUAAAUGAUAACAAACUAAAACAGAGCCCAAAGGUGGUACAAACACGUUGCUGUCACUUUAAAUCUUAUCUCACAAUCACAAGAUGACGAUUCAUCCGUCUAACUCUGGCGUUUUGUGUUGACACUGCAAUGGCAGCGCGUGCUUAUUUAUAGAAAAUGCAUAUUUAAAAAGCAUCCUAGCAAACACUGGAGUGGUUUUACUGAACAAGCUGUCGCUGUCUCUGUGACAGAGACAAUGUUGUCUUCCCCAUCUGCCCUCCUGAGCUGCGGUCUGUGUGUGUGUCUGUCAGUCUGUCUGUCAGCUCGUGGACUGUCGUGUCCUUAAAGUAAACGACGUCAUGACGACAUCGAGUGCGCGAAGCAUGCGUUUGUUUUACCUUGUAAAUGUACUUAACUUUCUUUAAGCUCAGUCUCAGGACACUGAAGUCGGGU